GACGAACGCUGGCGGCGUGCUUAACACAUGCAAGUCGAACGGAAAGGCCCUGCUUUUGUGGGGUGCUCGAGUGGCGAACGGGUGAGUAACACGUGAGUAACCUGCCCUUGACUUUGGGAUAACUUCAGGAAACUGGGGCUAAUAUCGGAUAGGAUCUCCUGCAGCAUGGUGGGGGUUGGAAAGUUUCGGCUGUUGGGGAUGGUCUCGCGGCUUAUCAGCUUGUUGGUGGGGUAGUGGCUUUCCAAGGCUUUGAAGGGUAGCCGGCCUGAGAGGGUGGCCGGCCACAUUGGGACUGAGAGACGGCCCAGACUCCUACGGGAGGCAGCGGUGGAGAGUAUUACACAAUGGGCGGGAGCCAGAUGCGACAACGCCGCGUGCGGGAUGACGGCCUUCGGGUUGUAAACCGCUUUCGCCUGUGACGAAGCGUGAGUGACGGUAAUGGGUAAAGAAGCACCGGCUAACUACGUG
RNAcentral lists this ribosomal RNA (468 nucleotides) under uncultured bacterium. RNAcentral's name for it is "partial 16S ribosomal RNA". It matches the Rfam family "Bacterial small subunit ribosomal RNA", at positions 28 to 507 of the family's 1533-position model. The record is from RNAcentral.